This 1185-nucleotide ribosomal RNA is filed under the name Triticum aestivum (bread wheat). RNAcentral's name for it is "partial small subunit ribosomal RNA". Lineage: Eukaryota; Viridiplantae; Streptophyta; Magnoliopsida; Poales; Poaceae. The record is from RNAcentral.
AUGGCCACCUCUAAGAUGAUGCCGCCGGUCCCGAAGCUACUCGUGCUCUCGCCGGCAUCAACAUUUGGCUCCGUUGCUGUGUACGCGUGCUCACCGUCAAGCCCCGUAGACGAUUUACUCUUCACCUUCGACUGCGCCCGCCGCAACUCUGUUGAAAUGGUGAUGCCCUCGCCAUGCUGCGGGCUCACCCUCCUGUAUGACGCCGCGGCACCGGCUUACUAUGUUUGCAAUGUGGCUACAAGGGCGAUCACACGCCUGCCGCCUCACCGUGUUCCCACAUACGAUUCCAGUGCCGGACUGGGAUUUGACGCCGGGACAAGGGAGUACAAGGUCGUGAGGUUGAUCAAUGGGGUUUUCGGUGAGAAGGAGACGAUCAGGUGUGACGUGUGCACGCCCGGAGCUGAUCGCUGGAGGCCGGCAACCGGAGGGGUGCCCUUCAAAUGGUCCCAGUUUGCAAACUCCGCGGUUCAUCAUGCAGCGGUGAACAAAAUACCGCCCGUGUUCGCCAACGGAUGCCUGCACUGGUUGAUCAACCCUUCACUUAUCAUCAGAAGGCCAAGAGCUGCUAUCGUAUCCUUUUCAGUCGCAGAGGAGACCUUCGGAUGUGUCCGUUCGCCGCCGUUCUGGGGACCGAGAGAACAUCUGGGCUCCCUGUCCCAGUCAGAAGGAGAGCACCUGGUUGUGAUGGAUGACCAGCUAUGCAUUGUCCGGGAUCUUCGCAACGGAAUCCCUCAUGGCGGCACCUUGGAGAUUUGGGGACUGCUGGAUUAUGGCUCCGGUGAUUGGUCGCUGAAUCAUCGAAUCGAUUUGUUCGGGCAGGUAAAAAGAGAAUUAGCUGAUCCACGGGUUGUGAGGGUUAUUGGUAAUGUUGGCAACUGCAAGUUAGGGAAGAAGAUUGUGAUUGCUACUAGCAAGCACUUGGUUCACGACAAGUUUCAGAAAAAGGUUUACUCAUAUGAUCCUAGCCGUCAAGUUCUAGAGGGCAUUCUUUCGGUCACCGAGACGCACACCUCUCUUAUGCUCUUCGUCCCUGGUUCAAGAUUCAGCUUACUUGAAGAGAGCCUUGCUCUGGUGCAUAAAACUCAUGAAGACCUGGCCUUCAAGAAUGUGCUAAAGAAACUACGGCUCCAUGCUAAAAGGCUAAAAGAUGAAAGGUCUCUCUUGUUGAAAUCUUCUGCAAUUUAA